This is a long non-coding RNA of Eublepharis macularius, 701 nucleotides long. RefSeq lists it as uncharacterized. The record is from RefSeq and is a predicted model, not a curated record. Lineage: Eukaryota; Metazoa; Chordata; Lepidosauria; Squamata; Eublepharidae. The transcript is spliced from 3 exons.
AGGAGGGGCAACCGCCUGAGGUGGAAGGCAGAGAACAGGCAGGCCUGAAAGUCCCAGUACCAGAAUGCAAUCUGCAUGGGAAAGAACUUCUGAGCCUGCUUGAGUGAGGAGCAGCUCUCGGAAUGCCUCCAGGCCUUCUGGGACAACAUCACGUGCCUGGGCCCAGACUGGGUAAGGGAGAGAGCGGCUUUUGUGGUCUUAUCCCUCCUCAGCUAGGCCCACGCUGUUCUAGACGACAAGGAUGAGGCAAUAACAAUAGGAAUUUGUAUUUUGACAAAUGGAAUUCUUACCUAGAGAGGACACCAUCCCACAAUCCUCAGGCAUGACCUCCCUGUCCAGCGCUCUCUGGCACAAGUCCAGCAAGACCCAUCUCCCACGGUGAAGUAUGCAACCACCUCCUCAAAAGUCACCAGACUCUGGAAGUAGAAAACAAUUUCCUCCCUCAGGAAUCAUCACAAACAGGAGGUUAGCGGGAUCUCUCACCCCCACCUGUUACCUGAAGGGAUCUCCUUGCAUAAAUAUGAUUUAUGGGGGGAAUUAGCUCGCAAGGAAGACCGCUAUACGAGAGGCAGUAACUGGAAUUGAAUCACCUGUGUCUAUGGGGUCCCAAUCCCAAUAAGCCAAGCGAGUCUGGUGCUUCAAAUCAAUCAAUAACUUUUAUUAAAGAACAGAACUUUAUACACAUACACACCAAUUACUGG